GACAAGGUAGUUCAAAGCGUGGGCAGUUGGUGGACGCAUCAAAAAGAAGCGCAUGUGCAGAAGGUUGGGCUGAUAACCCAGAGAUGAUGGUUCGAAUCCAUCCCUUGUCG
RNAcentral lists this transfer RNA (110 nucleotides) under Streptococcus suis. Its description in RNAcentral is "tRNA-OTHER". It matches the Rfam family "tRNA". From Rfam's summary of the family: Transfer RNA (tRNA) molecules are approximately 80 nucleotides in length. Their secondary structure includes four short double-helical elements and three loops (D, anti-codon, and T loops). Lineage: Bacteria; Bacillati; Bacillota; Bacilli; Lactobacillales; Streptococcaceae. The record is from RNAcentral.